This 253-nucleotide ribosomal RNA is filed under the name uncultured bacterium. RNAcentral's name for it is "partial 16S ribosomal RNA". It matches the Rfam family "Bacterial small subunit ribosomal RNA", at positions 524 to 776 of the family's 1533-position model. The record is from RNAcentral.
UACGUAGGGUGCAAGCGUUGUUCGGAAUCAUUGGGCGUAAAGCGCGUGUAGGCGGUUAGGUAAGUCGGUUGUGAAAUCCCUGAGCUCAACUUAGGAAGUGCAUCCGAAACUGCUUAGCUAGAGGACGGUAGAGGAAGGUGGAAUUCCUAGUGUAGAGGUGAAAUUCGUAGAUAUUAGGAGGAAUACCGGUGGCGAAGGCGGCCUUCUGGGCCGAUUCUGACGCUGAGACGCGAAAGCGUGGGGAGCAAACAGG